ACACAUCCAAGUCCUGCAAGAUGUUUUUUAACUGAUUGGUUGUAUUGAUAACUUCUGACACUCUAUGAAUUAUCCAUCAAUCAUGUAAUCAUUUUUGUCCUGUAAGUAUGUGUGUUGGCAUCAUGGUUCAAGUAUGACUUCACUGCUCACAUCAAAACUCUUCUUUUAGCUUCAAGGAACUAAACAAAGUAAAAAUUGUGUCUCAGGUUUACCCUUUCACACGACUGAAGCAUUAUGCCUCUCAGAAUCAUAUGUCUCAUCCCUAUGCGUGACCACCCAGACAAGACUUGCAAAUGAAAAAAACUUGAUUCCAAGUCUUAGAUGCUUAUUUCUCACCUGGCCUAUUAAAGCCUUGUGUUCUCAUGGAUAGGCUUUCAUAGGCAUUUGAGACCUUCUCACCACAUGCACCAUGAAGCCAGCAUUCAAACCCUCUAUCUCUGAUCACCAAUGAGUGCUUUAACCUGACUAAACUGUUCACUUGAGUAUUGUGAGUGUCUGUGGCACAAUCCUUGGGGGCCACGCAUGAUGCAUGAUAGGGAAAAGAUGAAGGCAGAACAUACAGGAUGCUCACCUAGUUUGGAAAUAUGGUCUACCAAAAUAAUGCCAGCUAGGCAUCUCCCCUCUAUCUUACCUAGAACAAUAUUUAACUCAUUGAGCUAGGCCAAACUCUAGUUGCAGGAGAAUGCAUCUUGACUGCAUAAAUGGCCUCUAAAAAUUCCAAAUGGUUUCUUACUUGUCAGAGCUCUGUUGUGCAUUACCUGGAGCAUUCUUUCCAGCAAUGAUAAUGGCCAGUAAGAAGCUUUCUAAAAAGAUUUGUCUCACAUGCUUGACCAUCGAUAUUAGAUUCUUGAACCACAUACUUCUUUGGAUCUUUCCCAAAUUUUAGCACCAUAUAAAAGUCGUGCCUGGAGUUUAGAUGAGUUAUAAGUUUGGUUUGGGAUUUGAGUUUUCACUUCUGGUGUAUGCAAAACUGAGAACACAUCUUCAUACUUAUUCUCUCCAUCAAUCAUGCAAGC
Molecule: long non-coding RNA, 1016 nt
Filed under: Vitis vinifera (wine grape)
Lineage: Eukaryota; Viridiplantae; Streptophyta; Magnoliopsida; Vitales; Vitaceae
Description: long non-coding RNA (VVIN_LNC004088)
Source: RNAcentral